GAUUAUGGCUCAGGACGAACGCUGGCGGCGUGCCUAACACAUGCAAGUCGAGCGAGGAGAUCCUCGGGAUGAUCCUAGCGGCGGACGGGUGAGUAACACGUGGGCAACCUGCCUCAUAGAGAGGAAUAGCCUUCCGAAAGGGAGAUUAAUACCUCAUAACAUUGCAGUUUCGCAUGAAACAGCAAUUAAAGGAGCAAUCCGCUAUGAGAUGGGCCCGCGGCGCAUUAGCUAGUUGGUGAGGUAACGGCUCACCAAGGCGACGAUGCGUAGCCGACCUGAGAGGGUGAUCGGCCACAUUGGGACUGAGACACGGCCCAGACUCCUACGGGAGGCAGCAGUGGGGAAUAUUGCACAAUGGGGGAAACCCUGAUGCAAGCAACGCCGCGUGAGUGAUGACGGCCUUCGGGUUGUAAAGCUCUGUCUUCAGGGACGAUAAUGACGGUACCUGAGGAGGAAGCCACGGCUAACUACGUGCCAGCAGCGGC
This 485-nucleotide ribosomal RNA is filed under the name uncultured bacterium. Its description in RNAcentral is "bacterial SSU rRNA". It matches the Rfam family "Bacterial small subunit ribosomal RNA", at positions 15 to 518 of the family's 1533-position model. The record is from RNAcentral.